Myotis davidii is the source of this 1469-nucleotide long non-coding RNA. RefSeq lists it as uncharacterized. The record is from RefSeq and is a predicted model, not a curated record. The transcript has 2 exons. NCBI's taxonomy places the organism in Eukaryota, Metazoa, Chordata, Mammalia, Chiroptera, Vespertilionidae.
GCCGGGGCGCUCCCAAGACGGGGCACCCCAGCCCACCCCAGCCGCCCCCGGCCCUCCAAGGGGGCCCACCUAGCCAACGCUGGGGAGGCGGUGGCCACGAGUUUGACUCUGGCCUUGUGUCCCAUCAGCCACCUACGUCUGGGCGAGCCACACUGCCUGUCCUAGCCUCGGUUUCCCUGUGUGAAGACCAGGGCCGCUGUGACGACAGAAGGAACAAGGCACGCAGGCGCUCAAUAGCUGGUCCCCACGCCCAGGAGGGCCGCAAAGGUGGCCAGGAGGCCGUCCGGGGUCCAGGCGCUCACCACAGCCUCUCACAGACACCAAUCCUUCCGUUUCACCAAGACCAACGCCGGCCACCACGGCGCGGAAAGGUGGUCGCCGUGCCCCGGCCCUCGGACCCGGGUCCGUGAACUGGGGUUUCAUUGUGGGCCCUCCUAUUGGAGAGUCAUCAGACAUGGGCCCCGGAACUGCACCCUCAGGGCCAACCCGUUGGGCCCCAUCUCUCCUCUGGCCCUUUCUGUGGCCAGGAGCUGAGGCGGUGACCACGGCUGGCUCUGUGCGGGGUAGAGGGGAUGGCGUGGAGCGGCCGUGGCUACGCCUGCCUCCCCGUCAGUGACUAAUGGAGGGAGGGACAGCUCGGGCACCUCAGGCCAGGCUGCCAGGGGAAUGCUUUCAUAUGCCUUAUGCCCGGGCAGGGCCGGUCAUGCCCAGAGUGCGAGUGGUGGGGAGAGAGGGAGGGAGCGAGGACUCUGGCCUCCCUCACAGCCACGUGACCAGCUCGCCAGCUGAUGACAGAGACAAAGCAGGCCCGAACCUGCAGGCCCAGUGCCGGCCCGGAGCCCAGGCGAGUCUGGAUGACGGAUGUGCAACCCCCGUGCCAUGUGCUGCAGCUUCUCUUACCGUCAAACCGCGCGCAGGCUGCAGCCCGGCCCCGUCGUCUUGUUAUCAUUUAAAAUGUAAUUACAAACGGCUGAUCUGAAGGGACAAAUCGCCCUGAAACACGUGGAAGGCGAAUGUAGACUGAAGAGCCCAAAUCAGCAGGUAAAGGUUUCAGCUAACGCCCUCCAGCCCCCUGGAAUCCCGACCUGCGCGGGCCCUUCCCGGGAAGCCAGCGGAAUUCCUUGAUGAACCUGGAGGGGGAAAUCUGUUACUCCUGGGGAAAAAAAAAAAUGGCCUCUUUGCUCGGUCUGUCCGUCUCAGGCACAUGUUUUCUGACCACGGCGACCAGCCGCGCUGGCCGUGAGAGCGGCUGCCGCUGCCCGCGGGUCACAGCUCAGCCCAGAGAGCCUCUCCGGCCGCUGAUUAAACAAACAGAGGUCCCGUCUGCAGCCUCGUCGUCCACGCGGGUUUCUGAGCCGUCCGGGCAGGCCAGGCUCCUGGACCCCGACUCAAACAAGUCUCCAACUCAAACUUUGAAUUUUAUUUUUGAACUACACCCCCCCCCUCCAAUAAAAGGUGAAUAAAAGCUU